UCGAUUUCACUUCUUGACUUCUAAUUAUCCAUACUAACCAACUAGAAACAUAAGUACUUACCUAUUUCAGAUAACCAAUUACCAUCUCCAUGCAUUUUAAUUUCCGUGUUCUAGAAUCAAAUUCUCAGUUGAUUAUUUUAACAAAUAAAGGGAGGACAUGCCUUAAGAAUUCAAGGUUCAAAUUUUCAUUAUCAUCAUCAAAUUCAGAUUUUACAGAGAAAAUCAUCCCCAACCGGUUGAAUUGACAUACAAAAUCAAUACAAAGAUUUUGCAAUUUACCAAUCAUCCUAACAUAACACACACACACACACACACACACACACACAUAUAUUACCUCUGAUUUAGCUUCCUUUCUUCAAUUUUGAAUAUUCUAGCCUUCCCUCUUCUACUAAUUGCUAUUACACUUCAGCUAGCAGAGAACUAACCUAUCUAUUGAAACUACAGAACUUCUAUAUUAAAGUUAAUAGUAAUAGAUAGGAGAGUUUGAAGAUGAAACAAAGAGACUGGGAUUGAAGUUUUAGAAUAGGCUUUAUAGAAAUCCUUUUCUUACUGAUUAGGAUCAACAUUACUCUCCAAGAAGUAUAGCUUAGCUGAUUCCCUAAACCUAUCAAGUCCCUAGCAUGCCAGCUCUUGCUUAUAUGACUCAGACAAAAUUUAUAUCCCCCACCUCAGGCUUUAUUAUACUGUACUGUAAUACAUAUACAUUAAUUAUAUAUUCAUGCUUAUUUUACCCCUUAUGUACAUAUCGCAUACAU
Molecule: long non-coding RNA, 755 nt
Filed under: Panax ginseng (ginseng)
Lineage: Eukaryota; Viridiplantae; Streptophyta; Magnoliopsida; Apiales; Araliaceae
Description: long non-coding RNA (PGIN_LNC013206)
Source: RNAcentral